AAAGGGGGCGGCAGCGCCGGCGGAGCGGAGGCGGGUCUCACGUGGGCCAGCGCAGAGCCUGCGGAAGGGACGGAUGCGGAUCUCGUCGCUGUCACCUUGAAAGUGACCGAGGGGCUUGACUGUGGACUCCUUACGCCGCCCACCCGGGCCCGGCGGUCCCAGCCUUCUCGCAGGGCCCCUUCUCAGCAGAAGCAAGCGGGGCCGAGAAAGCGGGUGGAAUAGGGUUGCUGCAGGUCCCAAAGACCCCUCGUGGCGCCUCGCUACUUUCUGCAGCUUGUUUGCACUUUUUCACGCUCUAGAAAAAUCUCAUCUUAAUUAAGGGAACAACAAAGCAUUUAAUCUUCAGAGCAUCUUAGACUGAAAACCUUUCAACUGUGCUGAAAAACCUAGAAGACAGACCAUUUUGCCCACCCUCUCAUUUAAAAGGAAUUGAAGAAGAAAUAAAAUGGCAGAGGUUUAAGGUUACUAUUCAGGAUGACUGAUGAUAAUUCAGAUGAUAAAAUCGAAGAUGAAUUGCAAACCUUCUUUACCAGUGAUAAAGAUGGAAAUACACAUGCAUACAACCCGAAAUCACCACCUACACAAAACUCUUCAGCCAGCAGUGUGAAUUGGAAUUCUGCCAUCCCAGAUGACAUGGUGGUUGAUUAUGAAACUGACCCUGCUGUGGUUACUGGUGAAAAUAUUUCUUUAAGCCUUCAGGGUGUUGAAGUAUUUGGUCAUGAAAAGUCUUCUAGUGGUUUCAUUAGUAAGCAGGUGUUAGAUAUGCAUAAAGAUUCCAUUUGUCAGUCUCCUGCACUUGUAGGUACUGAGAAGCCCAAAUAUCUGCAACACAGUUGUCAUUCCCUAGAAGCAGUUGAGGGCCAGAGUGUUGAGCCAUCUUUGCCUUUUGUGUGGAAGCCUAAUGACAAUUUGAACUGUACAGGCUACUCUGAUGCCUUGGAGCUAAACCAAACAUUUGACAUGACAGUGGAUAAAGUUAACUGCACCUUUAUAUCACAUCAUGCCAUCGGAAAGAGUCAGUCCUUCCAUACUGCUGGAAGCCUGCCACCAACUGGUAGGAGGAGUGGAAGUACAUCUUCUUUAUCCUAUUCCACUUGGACAUCUUCCCAUUCUGAUAAGACGCAUGCAAGAGAAACUACUUAUGAUAGAGAAAGCUUUGAAAACCCUCAAGUCACACCAUCAGAAGCCCAAGACACGACUUACACAGCAUUUUCUGAUGUGGUGAUGCAAAGUGAGGUUUUUGUUUCAGAUAUUGGAAAUCAGUGUGCAUGUUCUUCAGGAAAGGUCACCAGUGAGUACACAGAUGGAUCACAACAAAGACUAGUUGGAGAAAAAGAGACACAAGCACUAACACCAGUUUCUGAUGGCAUGGAAGUCCCCAAUGAUUCUGCAUUACAAGAGUUCUUUUGUUUAUCCCAUGAUGAAUCCAAUAGCGAACCACAUUCACAGAGCUCAUACAGGCACAAGGAAGUGGGCCAAAAUCUGAGAGAGACAGUGUCCUAUUGUCUUAUGGAUGAUGAAUGCCCUUUAAUGGUGCCAGGUUUUGAUAAAAGCGAAGCUCAAGUGCUGAACCCAGAGCAUAAAGUCACUGAGACUGAAGACACACAAAUGGUCUCCAAAGGAAAGGAUUUGGGAACCCAAAAUCAUACCUCAGAAUUGAUUCUAAGUAGCCCGCCAGGACAAAAGGUGGGCUCGUCAUUUGGACUGACUUGGGAUGCAAAUGAUAUGGUCAUUAGCACAGACAAAACGAUAUGCAUGUCAACACCAGUCCUAGAACCCACAAAAGUAACCUUUUCUGUUUCACCGAUUGAAGCAACGGAGAAAUGUAAGAAAGUGGAGAAGGGUAAUCGAGGGCUUAAAAACAUACCAAACUCGAAGGAGGCACCUGUGAACCUGUGUAAACCUAGUUUAGGAAAAUCAACAAUCAAAACGAAUACCCCAAUAGGCUGCAAAGUUAGAAAAACUGAAAUUAUAAGUUACCCAAGACCAAACUUCAAGAAUGUCAAAGCAAAAGUUAUGUCUAGACCAGUGCUGCAGCCCAAAGAUGCUGCUUUAUCAAAGGUCACGCCCAGACCUCAGCUGACCAGUGCCUCAUCACCCUCAUCAGUGAUUUCAAGACAACAAACAGUCUUGAGCAGAACACCAAGAUCUGACUUGAAUGCAGACAAAAAAGCAGAAAUUCUAAUUAACAAGACGCAUAAGCAGCAGUUUAAUAAACUCAUUACUAGCCAGGCUGUGCAUGUUACAACUCAUUCUAAAAAUGCUUCACACAGGGUUCCAAGAACAACAUCUGCCGUGAAAUCGAAUCAGGAAGAUGUUGACAAAGUCAGUUCUUCUAACUCAGCAUGCGAGACCAGGUCCGUUUCUGCGUUGUUUCAGAAGAUCAAAGGCAUACUCCCUGUUAGAAUGGAAAGUGCAGAAUGUUUGGAAAUGACCUAUGUUCCCAACAUUGAUAGGAUUAGCCCUGAAAAGAAGGGUGAAAAAGAAAAUGGGACAUCUAUGGAAAAACAAGAGCUGAAACAAGAGAUUAUGAAUGAGACUUUUGAAUAUGGUUCUCUGUUUUUGGGCUCUGCUUCAAAAACAACGACCACCUCAGGUAGGAAUAUAUCCAAGCCUGACUCCUGCGGUUUGAGGCAAAUAGCUGCUCCAAAAGCUAAAGUGGGGCCCCCUGUUUCCUGUUUGAGGCGGAACAGUGACAAUAGAAAUCCCAGUGCUGAUCGAGCCGUAUCUCCUCAGAGGAUCAGGCGUGUGUCCAGUUCUGGAAAGCCUACAUCCUUGAAAACUGCACAGUCGUCAUGGGUGAAUUUGCCUAGACCACUUCCUAAAUCCAAAGCAUCUUUGAAAAGUCCUGCGCUGCGGAGGACAGGAAGCACCCCCUCAAUAGCCAGCACCCACAGUGAGCUGAGCACUUACAGCAACAAUUGUAAGUCGACUUUAUAUCACACUUCGGGGGUUGUGGAAACAGUCAUUACAAGAAAAACUAAUGCUCUGCAAAUAAUUAGAAUUUUUGUUUCUGGGGUUUCAGGAAAAAUAGGCAUACUGCUUCCUUGGAGUUGCUCUGAAAGUUUGGCAGAAAAAAAAUUCUUUGAAAAACACUCUUGAAAUAAUUAUGUGUUAAAGUAUAUUUUUGCAUGAAGGAUUCUAAAGUGCAUCAUCUGAAGUGAUGGUGUUUUGGAGGUUUAAGAGUAGCAACCCAGGGGAUUUGGACUCUAACUGGAAUCAGAAAAAAAGAUUAUUUCAGUUUCAUUUACUUUGCAAAAGACUAUCUCCUGUGGAAUCUUUGGAUGCUAGAUUUUGUGUAAUAGGACUAAUAUAACUUGAAUCCUAAUUCUAAAAAAUUGAAACUCAGGAGAA
Molecule: small RNA, 3354 nt
Filed under: Pan troglodytes (chimpanzee)
Lineage: Eukaryota; Metazoa; Chordata; Mammalia; Primates; Hominidae
Description: retained intron
Source: RNAcentral